CCUACGGGAGGCAGCAGUGGGGAAUAUUGGACAAUGGGCGAAAGCCUGAUCCAGCCAUGCCGCGUGUGUGAAGAAGGCCUUCGGGUUGUAAAGCACUUUCAGUGGGGAAGAAAGCCUUGGGGCUAAUACCCUCGAGGAAGGACAUCACCCACAGAAGAAGCACCGGCUAACUCCGUGCCAGCAGCCGCGGUAAUACGGAGGGUGCGAGCGUUAAUCGGAAUUACUGGGCGUAAAGCGCGCGUAGGCGGUCUGAUCAGCCGGUUGUGAAAGCCCCGGGCUCAACCUGGGAACGGCAUCCGGAACUGUCAGGCUAGAGUGCAGGAGAGGAAGGUAGAAGUCCCGGUGUAGCGGUGAAAUGCGUAGAGAUCGGGAGGAAUACCAGUGGCGAAGGCGGCCUUCUGGACUGACACUGACGCUGAGGUGCGAAAGCGUGGGUAGCAAACAGGAUUAGAUACCCUUGUAGUC
This 465-nucleotide ribosomal RNA is filed under the name Vreelandella stevensii. RNAcentral describes it as "partial 16S ribosomal RNA". It matches the Rfam family "Bacterial small subunit ribosomal RNA", at positions 338 to 795 of the family's 1533-position model. The record is from RNAcentral. Lineage: Bacteria; Pseudomonadati; Pseudomonadota; Gammaproteobacteria; Oceanospirillales; Halomonadaceae.